GAUGAACGCUGGCGGCGUGCCUAAUACAUGCAAGUCGAGCGAACAGACGAGGAGCUUGCUCCUCUGACGUUAGCGGCGGACGGGUGAGUAACACGUGGAUAACCUACCUAUAAGACUGGGAUAACUUCGGGAAACCGGAGCUAAUACCGGAUAAUAUAUUGAACCGCAUGGUUCAAUAGUCAAAGACGGUUUUGCUGUCACUUAUAGAUGGAUCCGCGCCGCAUUAGCUAGUUGGUAAGGUAACGGCUUACCAAGGCGACGAUGCGUAGCCGACCUGAGAGGGUGAUCGGCCACACUGGAACUGAGACACGGUCCAGACUCCUACGGGAGGCAGCAGUAGGGAAUCUUCCGCAAUGGGCGAAAGCCUGACGGAGCAACGCCGCGUGAGUGAUGAAGGUCUUCGGAUCGUAAAACUCUGUUAUUAGGGAAGAACAAAUGUGUAAGUAACUAUGCACGUCUUGACGGUACCUAAUCGGAAAGCCACGGCUAACUACGUG
This 497-nucleotide ribosomal RNA is filed under the name uncultured bacterium. Its description in RNAcentral is "partial 16S ribosomal RNA". It matches the Rfam family "Bacterial small subunit ribosomal RNA", at positions 28 to 507 of the family's 1533-position model. The record is from RNAcentral.